GUUUACGGCUAUACCUAGGCGAAAAACAGCACACCAGUUCCCGCCCGAUCACUGUAGGAAGUGAAACCGUCUGAAAGCUCGUUAGUGCUACGAUUGGAGACAACAUGGGAAUCCGGGAUGCUGUAGGCG
Molecule: ribosomal RNA, 129 nt
Filed under: Schizosaccharomyces octosporus yFS286
Lineage: Eukaryota; Fungi; Ascomycota; Schizosaccharomycetes; Schizosaccharomycetales; Schizosaccharomycetaceae
Source: RNAcentral